AUUGAACGCUGGCGGCAUGCCUUACACAUGCAAGUCGAACGGUAACAGGUCUUCGGAUGCUGACGAGUGGCGAACGGGUGAGUAAUACAUCGGAACGUGCCCGAUCGUGGGGGGAUAACGCAGCGAAAGCUGUGCUAAUACCGCAUACGAUCUACGGAUGAAAGCGGGGGAUCGCAAGACCUCGCGCGGACGGAGCGGCCGAUGGCAGAUUAGAUAGUUGGUGGGAUAAAAGCUUACCAAGCCGACGAUCUGUAGCUGGUCUGAGAGGACGACCAGCCACACUGGGACUGAGACACGGCCCAGACUCCUGCGGGAGGCAGCAGUGGGGAAUUUUGGACAAUGGGGGGCAACCCUGAUCCAGCCAUGCCGCGUGAGUGAAGAAGGCC
Molecule: ribosomal RNA, 386 nt
Filed under: uncultured bacterium
Lineage: Bacteria
Description: bacterial SSU rRNA
Rfam family: Bacterial small subunit ribosomal RNA
Source: RNAcentral